Molecule: ribosomal RNA, 406 nt
Filed under: uncultured bacterium
Lineage: Bacteria
Description: partial 16S ribosomal RNA
Rfam family: Bacterial small subunit ribosomal RNA
Source: RNAcentral
AUUGAACGCUGGCGGCAGGCCUAACACAUGCAAGUCGAACGAGUGGCGGAAGGGUGAGUAAUGUCGGGGAAACUGCGCGAUGGAGGGGGAUAACUACUGGAAACGGUAGCUAAUACCGCAUACUAUCGGAUGCGCCGAGAUGGGAUGAGCUAGUAGGUGGGGUAACGGCUCACCUGGGCGACGAUCCCUAACUGGUCUGAGAGGAUGAGCAGCCACACUGGAACUGAGAGACGGUCCAGACUCCUCCGGGAGGCAGCAGUGGGGAAUAUUGCACAAGGGGCGAAAGCCUGAUGCAGCCAUGCCGCGUGUAUGAAGAAGGCCUUCGGGUUGUAAAGUACUUUCAGCGAGGAGGCGUUACUCGCAGAAGAAGCACCGGCUAACUCCGUGCCAGCAGCCGCGGUAAUUC